CCGCGGAACACGCUGGGCGCAUGCAGACGCUGCUCUUUGUCACAGAUACAGCCAACCAUCCCAGGGGGGGACAUCUCUACCUCUGCCGUCCCAGCACCCUCUUCAACCUCCUCCACGCGAGACCCCGAGUUCCACCCCCACAAACAGGCCUCAUUAGACCCCAUCUUGUGAACAGGACACGCACAUACGUGUUGAACGGACGAAUUCCACAUCAGUUAGCUGCCUGUUCGCUGAACGUCUUUCCUGGACUCCAGGAUUGAAGGAAUUAGGACAAUGAAGAGCCACAAAGCAGGAGGAAACCAUCAUGCAGGCUCCACUCAAAGAGAACAAGGCUCAAAGAGAACACCAACUUCCUUGCAUAGGCUUCCUCUAGAAACAAAACUAUUGUGGGACAAUGAGGGAAGUGCUCCCCAUGCGGAGAACCUUUCUAUAGGUCUCCCUGGAGAUGUUCUGGGGCCUGGUACCCAGCGAGGCCGCCUGCAGCCACGUGGCCACUGGCCCUCUCCAUCUUUCACAAGGCAGGAGGGAUGGGAAGUGCUGGCAGGUGUUGGCAUCCUGCAGAUGCUGGUUAUCUUCCAGACCAGCUUCUCAGCCUCAGCAGGUGUAUGCCCUGAGUUACCAAGGAUUUCUGAAGCUGGUGGAAGCUCGGAGGCCCUGUCUGUGGCCAUGGAGACCCCAUAGAGCCCCUGCCUGUAGCCCUAUUUCUCCAGCAAGAGACUGCAGCCUUAACCAGCUGGCCUCGCCCAUCCACAGAACUGUGCUCCACGGGCACCUGCAGCAGCUCACUUUGGAUCACAGGACUGACCUUGUCUUCCAGCCGCACACAGGGAGCGGGGAGCAGGCUGGUCUCAGCCUCUGUCUGCCUGGAGGGACCCCGAGCCCAUCCAGUCUGGCCCUGCCGCUUCCAGGGUUACCCAGGUCCCAGGAUGGGAAAUCAAAGCCCAGCCGUGCUUGACAACAUUAGGACCUCAAAGCAGAGAAAAACAAACAGAACCUCUCCAAAACCAGAGGCUGGUCCAGAGCCAACAUUAUGAUCCUGGUCUCCUGUAUUACAAAAGGGAAAUACUAAGGCCCUAAUGAGAGGAAAGUGGAGUCCGAGGUCCCAGUGUGAGUCAACAGCAGAGCAGAGACCAGACCCAGGAACCACACUGCUAGGCCGGUGCUAUGAAAAAUCCAGACUCAGGCAAAAGAAAGCUCAACAUCCUGAUGUCCCUCUGUAGACGGGAGACGCCUGUGGAAAGGGAGAGGGUCAGCUGACACACCCUCAACAUCCUGAUGUCGCUCUAUAGACAGGAGACGCCUGUGGAAAUGGAGAGGGUCAGCUGGUAGACCUGGUUUGUCAAGAGUACUUGUGAAAAGGGUCGGGGUCUUGGUUGACUGGAAGGGUCUGAGUCCACCCUGUGAUUUACCUGCUACAAAGUCACUCAACAAAUGUGGCAGCCAAGGGUUCACCCACUAGCUAAUGUGACACAUGUAUGUCACACGUGUGUGUCACACACACACACACACACUUGUACAUUUAGCUUAAUACACUUUUUUUUUAAAGACUUUAUUUUUUCCUUUUUCUCCCCAACACCCCCCAGUACAUAGUUGUAUAUUCUUCGUUGUGGGUCCUUCUAGUUGUGGCAUGUGGGAUGCUGCCCCAGCGUGGUUUGAUGAGCAGUGCCAUGUCCGCGCCCAGGAUUCCAACCAACGAAACACUGGGCCGCCUGCAGCGGAGCGCACGAAUUUAACCACUCGGCCACGGGGCCAGCCCCAGGCUUAAUAAAUUUUGAUGCCAGAGUAAGGGAGAUGUCCGUCCUUCCUGACCAGACCCCAUGCAGUGAGUUGUAUUCACUUUAAGAGGAAAGCUGACAAACUAGAGCAUUCUCCAAGAAAAGCACCCAAGAAGUCAAGCUAACUCAAAAUAACAAUGUGAGGAGCUGUGUUUCAAAGCCCAGGAGAAGCUUAGUUUACAGAAGAGAAGACUCAACGCAUACUGCAUCUGACCCCAAAUUGCUGAAAAAUAAUGUGAAAAGGAGAAUAGAAUCAUUAUGGGUCAUUUUAGGGAGCAAAGCUGGGUCUGAACCCAGACACCAGCAAGUCCACCCGUCAUCCUCCAUCCCCUGAGACCCACUCUGAGAAGGCACCCUCCUUCCAUCACUCUAGUCCCAGAGUUUUCCAAAACUCAGAUCUGACCAGACAGCACCCCUUCGGUGGGUCUGAGAAACUGUCACAGCCAAGGGGAGCCUAAGGCUACACGACAACUAAAUGUAAUAUGGCAUCUCCGAUGGGACCCUGCAACAGAAAAACAACGUUAGGUAAAAACUCAGGGAGCCUGAAUAAAGUAUGGACUUUAGUUAAUAACAGUGUAUCAACAUGGGUGCAUUCAUU
Molecule: long non-coding RNA, 2373 nt
Organism: Equus caballus (horse)
Lineage: Eukaryota; Metazoa; Chordata; Mammalia; Perissodactyla; Equidae
Source: Ensembl